This 319-nucleotide long non-coding RNA is filed under the name Nicotiana benthamiana. Its description in RNAcentral is "long non-coding RNA (NBEN_LNC009876)". The record is from RNAcentral. Lineage: Eukaryota; Viridiplantae; Streptophyta; Magnoliopsida; Solanales; Solanaceae.
CUUUAGUUUCUGGGAUAAUGUAUUGUUAUCUUCCAAUUCUUUGUUGAAUUUGUGACCAAGUAAUGUGAAAGUACCCUUUUCCUUCAAUAACUUUUCUUUUGUCCAACGUUCUAGAAUAGUACUCAUAUACUCAACAACACAGUAUAAUCCCACUUAGUGGGGUCUGUGGAGGGUAGUAUGUACGCAGACCUUACCCUUGGAUAGAGAGGCUGUUUCCAAAUAGACCCCCGGCAUCUUUCCCUCCAAGAACUUCCCUCCUCGCUCUUGGGGAGACUCGAACUCACAACCUCUCGGUUGGAAGUGGGGGUUGCUUACCAUC